This 510-nucleotide ribosomal RNA is filed under the name uncultured bacterium. RNAcentral describes it as "partial 16S ribosomal RNA". It matches the Rfam family "Bacterial small subunit ribosomal RNA", at positions 28 to 507 of the family's 1533-position model. The record is from RNAcentral.
GACGAACGCUGGCGGCGUGCUUAACACAUGCAAGUCGAACGAAGAGCGAUGGAAGCUUGCUUCUAUCAAUCUUAGUGGCGAACGGGUGAGUAACGCGUAAUCAACCUGCCCUUCAGAGGGGGACAACAGUUGGAAACGACUGCUAAUACCGCAUACGAUCUAACCUCGGCAUCGAGGAUAGAUGAAAGGUGGCCUCUACAUGUAAGCUAUCACUGAAGGAGGGGAUUGCGUCUGAUUAGCUAGUUGGAGGGGUAACGGCCCACCAAGGCGAUGAUCAGUAGCCGGUCUGAGAGGAUGAACGGCCACAUUGGGACUGAGACACGGCCCAGACUCCUACGGGAGGCAGCAGUGGGGAAUCUUCCGCAAGGGACGAAAGUCUGACGGAGCAACGCCGCGUGAGUGAUGACGGCCUUCGGGUUGUAAAGCUCUGUUAAUCGGGACGAAAGGCCUUCUUGCGAAUAGUUAGAAGGAUUGACGGUACCGGAAUAGAAAGCCACGGCUAACUACGUG